CAUAUUAAUUUUAAUGGUUUAAACCGAAACAAGAAACGAAGGGUGAAUACAUGUGUCUUCAUUUUUUAUCAUUUUGCUGAAAAAGAGAACAUUAAAAGAAGCCUGCUUCUGGGGAACGACUUUAGACGCAAGCCAUCUAUAUAAAUACAAAGAAAAUAAGAUUUAAAUAAGGGUUAGUGAAAUCUUUUUGCAUUUUUAAUUCUUGUGUCGUCAUACAAACGUUUCAUCAAUAAAAUAGAUUCCCUGUUCACCAUACCAAAAAACUAACAUUAUUAAGAAAAAUUAUAGUUAACUAAGAAAAUACUAACAGCUUCGGAUAAAAUUUUGACGGGAACUUGUCUUAUAAGAAAAUUGUGAUUCUAGAUUGAGCUUAAUUACUCCCACACACUUGGUCAGCCCAAAUUGUCGUUUCUCUUCCUUUUACACAUUUAUGAUGUAAUAUAAGAUUAUCAUUACUUUAUUAUAACCACAUUUUGUAGACAUUGAAAAUCUUUUCGUGCAUUCAAGUAUCAAUGAUUUAUACAAUUUGCACUGUCUGAUAUCAUUUCCAUAAAAGUUGAAGUAUGUUUAGUAUGCUCGCGUGACCGAAACAAAUAUAUAUUUUAUGAUGCAAAUAUUGCAUAAAUAUACACAUCGUAAACCAGCUCAUCAGACAACUCUACGAGAUGCUUUAAUAGGUCUGGUACACUUUGUAAAAUGUUGAUUAGAAAUCGCUCAUUUAAUCGUUUUUAUAAUCUUCAAGUUCUUUUUAAUGUGAGAUUUUCAUUUGUGGUGAAUACAUUGCACAUAGUUGAAAUUUUCAUAACAAUAACUCGACUUUAGCAUCGACAUUUAAAGUAUGUUUACAUUAUACACAUAUAUAUAAAAACUAUCUAUGACAA
Molecule: long non-coding RNA, 881 nt
Organism: Xenia sp. Carnegie-2017
Lineage: Eukaryota; Metazoa; Cnidaria; Anthozoa; Malacalcyonacea; Xeniidae
Exons: 2
Source: RefSeq, a predicted model, not a curated record